AGAGUUUGAUCCUGGCUCAGGACGAACGCUGGCGGCGUGCUUAACACAUGCAAGUCUACGAGAAAGAGGUAGCAAUAUCUCAAGUAAAGUGGCGCAAGGGUGAGUAAUAUGUAAGUAAUCUACCUAUGGGUUCGGAAUAACGUCGAGAAAUCGGCGCUAAUACCGAAUAAUGCAGCGGCAUCGCAUGAUGAUGUUGUUAAAGUUGUCCCGACUUGUCGGGAUGACUCCUAUAGAUGAGCUUGCAUCUGAUUAGCUAGUUGGUAGGGUAAUUGCCUACCAAGGCUACGAUCAGUAGCUGGUCUGAGAGGAUGAUCAGCCACACUGGAACUGAGACACGGUCCAGACUCCUACGGGAGGCAGCAGUGAGGAAUAUUGGGCAAUGGACGGAAGUCUGACCCAGCAACGCCGCGUGGAGGAUGAAUGCCGUAAGGUUGUAAACUCCUUUUGAAGGGGACG
RNAcentral lists this ribosomal RNA (456 nucleotides) under uncultured bacterium. RNAcentral describes it as "bacterial SSU rRNA". It matches the Rfam family "Bacterial small subunit ribosomal RNA", at positions 8 to 447 of the family's 1533-position model. The record is from RNAcentral.